UGCAAGUCGAGCGAACUGAUUAGAAGCUUGCUUCUAUGACGUUAGCGGCGGACGGGUGAGUAACACGUGGGCAACCUGCCUGUAAGACUGGGAUAACUUCGGGAAACCGAAGCUAAUACCGGAUAGGAUCUUCUCCUUCAUGGGAGAUGAUUGAAAGAUGGUUUCGGCUAUCACUUACAGAUGGGCCCGCGGUGCAUUAGCUAGUUGGUGAGGUAACGGCUCACCAAGGCAACGAUGCAUAGCCGACCUGAGAGGGUGAUCGGCCACACUGGGACUGAGACACGGCCCAGACUCCUACGGGAGGCAGCAGUAGGGAAUCUUCCGCAAUGGACGAAAGUCUGACGGAGCAACGCCGCGUGAGUGAUGAAGGCUUUCGGGUCGUAAAACUCUGUUGUUAGGGAAGAACAAGUACAAGAGUAACUGCUUGUACCUUGACGGUACCUAACCAGAAAGCCACGGCUAACUACGUGCCAGCAGCCGCGGUAAUACGUAGGUGGCAAGCGUUAUCCGGAAUUAUUGGGCGUAAAGCGCGCGCAGGCGGUUUCUUAAGUCUGAUGUGAAAGCCCACGGCUCAACCGUGGAGGGUCAUUGGAAACUGGGGAACUUGAGUGCAGAAGAGAAAAGCGGAAUUCCACGUGUAGCGGUGAAAUGCGUAGAGAUGUGGAGGAACACCAGUGGCGAAGGCGGCUUUUUGGUCUGUAACUGACGCUGAG
This 713-nucleotide ribosomal RNA is filed under the name Priestia megaterium. RNAcentral's name for it is "bacterial SSU rRNA". It matches the Rfam family "Bacterial small subunit ribosomal RNA", at positions 56 to 750 of the family's 1533-position model. Lineage: Bacteria; Bacillati; Bacillota; Bacilli; Caryophanales; Bacillaceae. The record is from RNAcentral.